UUUAUGGAGAGUUUGAUCCUGGCUCAGGAUGAACGCUGGCGGCGUGCCUAAUACAUGCAAGUCGAGCGAACGGACGAGAAGCUUGCUUCUCUGAUGUUAGCGGCGGACGGGUGAGUAACACGUGGAUAACCUACCUAUAAGACUGGGAUAACUUCGGGAAACCGGAGCUAAUACCGGAUAAUAUUUUGAACCGCAUGGUUCAAAAGUGAAAGACGGUCUUGCUGUCACUUAUAGAUGGAUCCGCGCUGCAUUAGCUAGUUGGUAAGGUAACGGCUUACCAAGGCAACGAUGCAUAGCCGACCUGAGAGGGUGAUCGGCCACACUGGAACUGAGACACGGUCCAGACUCCUACGGGAGGCAGCAGUAGGGAAUCUUCCGCAAUGGGCGAAAGCCUGACGGAGCAACGCCGCGUGAGUGAUGAAGGUCUUCAUCAAUAAUUAAAAAACUCUGUUAUUAGGGAAGAACAUAUGUGUAAGUAACUGUGCACAUCUUGACGGUACCUAAUCAGAAAGCCACGGCUAACUACGUGCCAGCAGCCGCGGUAAUACGUAGGUGGCAAGCGUUAUCCGGAAUUAUUGGGCGUAAAGCGCGCGUAGGCGGUUUUUUAAGUCUGAUGUGAAAGCCCACGGCUCAACCGUGGAGGGUCAUUGGAAACUGGAAAACUUGAGUGCAGAAGAGGAAAGUGGAAUUCCAUGUGUAGCGGUGAAAUGCGCAGAGAUAUGGAGGAACACCAGUGGCGAAGGCGACUUUCUGGUCUGUAACUGACGCUGAUGUGCGAAAGCGUGGGGAUCAAACAGGAUUAGAUACCCUGGUAGUCCACGCCGUAAACGAUGAGUGCUAAGUGUUUGGGGUUUCCGCCCCUUAGUGCUGCAGCUAACGCAUUAAGCACUCCGCCUGGGGAGUACGACCGCAAGGUUGAAACUCAAAGGAAUUGACGGGGACCGCACAAGCGGUGGAGCAUGUGGUUUAAUUCGAAGCAACGCGAAGAACCUUACCAAAUCUUGACAUCCUUUGACAACUCUAGAGAUAGAGCUUUCCCCUUCGGGGGACAAAGUGACAGGUGGUGCAUGGUUGUCGUCAGCUCGUGUCGUGAGAUGUUGGGUUAAGUCCCGCAACGAGCGCAACCCUUAAGCUUAGUUGCCAUCAUUAAGUUGGGCACUCUAAGUUGACUGCCGGUGACAAACCGGAGGAAGGUGGGGAUGACGUCAAAUCAUCAUGCCCCUUAUGAUUUGGGCUACACACGUGCUACAAUGGACAAUACAAAGGGCAGCGAAACCGCGAGGUCAAGCAAAUCCCAUAAAGUUGUUCUCAGUUCGGAUUGUAGUCUGCAACUCGACUACAUGAAGCUGGAAUCGCUAGUAAUCGUAGAUCAGCAUGCUACGGUGAAUACGUUCCCGGGUCUUGUACACACCGCCCGUCACACCACGAGAGUUUGUAACACCCGAAGCCGGUGGAGUAACCUUUUAGGAGCUAGCCGUCGAAGGUGGGACAAAUGAUUGGGGUGAAGUCGUAACAAGGUAGCCGUAUCGGAAGGUGCGGCUGGAUCACCUCCUUU
This 1555-nucleotide ribosomal RNA is filed under the name Staphylococcus aureus. Its description in RNAcentral is "16S ribosomal RNA". It matches the Rfam family "Bacterial small subunit ribosomal RNA". Lineage: Bacteria; Bacillati; Bacillota; Bacilli; Caryophanales; Staphylococcaceae. The record is from RNAcentral.